Leptonychotes weddellii (Weddell seal) is the source of this 172-nucleotide non-coding RNA. The record is from RefSeq and is a predicted model, not a curated record. Lineage: Eukaryota; Metazoa; Chordata; Mammalia; Carnivora; Phocidae.
GUCCUCUGUAUGAACAGAGGUCCACACAGACUCGACGGUACCCCAGCUCCAUCUCCUCAUCACCCCAAAAGGACCUGACUCAGGCAAAGAAUGGCUUCAGCUCUGUGCAGGCCACGCAGUUACAGACCACGCAAUCUGUUGAAGGUGCUACAGGCGCUGCUGUGAAAUCUGA